Molecule: long non-coding RNA, 5695 nt
Filed under: Physcomitrium patens
Lineage: Eukaryota; Viridiplantae; Streptophyta; Bryopsida; Funariales; Funariaceae
Description: long non-coding RNA (PPAT_LNC001228)
Source: RNAcentral
UUCUAUGAUUGCUCGUUUUACUUAUUCCGGAAGAAACCUCUUAGAAUAAACUCAUAUAGGGGGAUUCGAAUACGGAAAAUGACUAGUUGCUUAAGCGUUCACGUUAGGGUCACACAAUCAAUUACCUCUUGAAUGUAUUGUCACUAUUUCCAAUAUCUGAACACACAAGAAAACUAUAAUCUCCUCUUUCACCUUAUCGAUCUCUUCCUUACAACAAUUCAGUCAUACCAAUAACUGCUAUUUCCACCAAUAUAUUCACCCUCAUAAUCUCAAACUGUAAUACUACGCCCUCACAGCUUUCAAUACAUAAUUAUCCUCCUUUCAAUCACUGGAAUUUUUCACACAAAAUUGCCAUUCAUAUUAUGGUGUUUCACACAAACAUAGACUCAUUCUCUCUAUUGAACUACAAUCAAAUUUUAGCAUUCAAUCUUUCUUCUUCUCAAAUAAUACCAAUCAUAUUUCCAUUCUAUAAUUUACUUCACAAUAUUCAGAAACUCUCAAUCCUCUUAUUCAAAGAAAAUAACAAACAAAAGAAAAGAGGUAGCACCAAGCUUACCCCGGCUCACAACUAUCACAGUGAUGGCCCUCAGCUCAUGACUAUCAUAGUCCGGCACUUUAAUUAACUUCUACAACUUCUAUAUACUUUUUUCUGAUUCUCCAGAUUCUAACCAUAAUUCUGUAAUUAAGCGCCUUUAAAAACUAAAUCACUCAUCCAUCCUCCUGAAUUUCCUAUUAUAUGGACUAUUAAUAUAUUUUAUCAAUAUCUUUCAAAAACUAAUUAAUAUCUAUUUUACAUAGUCUUACUUCUAUCUGUGCAGCGUCCUCGCAAACACUCAAUUGACGCCUAUCUAAAAAUUAUCUAACAAAUCUCCACAAAAAUUGCAAUCUCUCAGGCCUAUCUAAUCAAUCAAUUACCACAGUAUCUGUUAUUAGUUCCAUCGAUUCCGGUUCCAACUGCAAAUCUUCUUCUUCUUCUUCCAGUCCAUCUAUCAGCUCUUGCCUCAAUUGGUUUGAUAGAUCUUCAUUAUACUCUCCCAAUUCACGGACUUGAGCUUUCAGUUUCAAGUUUUGGAAAUUCCAAAGUUUCAAUUAUUGUUGCUGCUGAUUCAUCUAUUCUGGAACAUCUUCAAUCGACACUUGUGACUGGCUCCUCACUAUUAACUCUUAACUAGAACUACAAUUCUCAAAAACAUAAGAAAUAUAAGAAAAUGGCACUCCAGCCAACCCAAAACAACACCACAAAAUGACUUUAACUGGUGCCUCACUCCUAUUCUUUUACUACUUGGUCAUAAUGACAACACGUUACCUAUACUGUCCGUGAAAGGUAAUGAAAAGUAAUCUUUCUUGGUGGCCAUAUUUAACUUUCAAAAAUAUUGACAUAUCCUGAUUUUUCCAUUUUUCUUUGGCACCAUCACGAUUGGCGACAUCCAUGUACUAUGCGGAAUAGGAUAAAUAAAACCCACGUCGAGAAGUUUAUCCAAUUCUUCUUUCACUAAAAGGAAAUAUUUUGAGUUAAGCUGGUGUUGUCUUUGACGAACUAGCGUAACAUCUUCCUCCAAAAUAAUCUGGUGCUCACACACGUCAACUGAAAUUCCUUUCAAAUCCGCAUACGACCAUAUAAAAGCAGAUUUGUGAUGGACGAAAAACUAUUUUUAAGCAUCCAAUUCUAUAUCGAUAAUACCGACAUAUAUUUUAAUUAGCUGUGGCAUUUCGUUGGUGCCCAAGUUAAUAGAUUGACACACAAGGUCUUCAACAACCUUUGAUUUAAUUGUCUUCCCCUGAUUUGAAUAUCUUGUAUUAUUUGACAUAUGAAAACCACCCAAAUCUGGUUCCAAUGUGCUGACUCUAUUGACUGCGGAAUUGUUCAUCCAUUCGGCAAUAGCAUGAUCCGAGUUAGUCGCAUCCUCCUGAUGCAGUAAAUAUUCGCUGGGACUUCCACAUUGGUAGACUCCUGCCUUUGCUGUUGAAGUAUUUUGUCCUACCCCAAAUUAUGGUGAACUUAUAGUAUCGUCAUCUACCUCAAUCGAUUGACUCUCGUUCUCUGAAGUAAAUUCUGAUUUUGGCAAUUGAUAUUCUCCAAGAUAUUGUAUCAGAUAUAUCUGUAAAAUAUUUUGAUCACGACCUUUUCCAAUUGUCAAUGUGCCUCGGCCCCAAUCGUUCUUAGCUUUGGCUUGAUAAAACCAAGGUCUGCCCAAUAAAAUGGGAUACGAUAAUAUAGAACUCUGUAAUCGAAAUACAAUAUAAUCGAUUUUGUAUGUCAAUCCCACGAUUACAAUGGCAAUAUUUUGUAAGAUUUCCAUUGGCUUUAGCCGACUAUGAUCUGUCAUUUCCAAGACCAAUGUCAUAGGUAGCAAUUGCUUUAGAUCCAAAUCCUCCAUUGUAUCCGCGUUCAUUAAAUUGACACUGGAGCCACCAUCGACUUGUAUUCCUGAAAUUAAAACACCAUCGAUUGAUACAUCCAUUGUUGGUGCUCUCGGAUCUAGAUUUAAGCUAACUUCAUGAAUUUCUUAAGUGUGGGAUCUUUGUCGUAUUAGCGCUGAAUUCAAUGUAGAUCAACAUUUCGGUGCUAUAGUCAAAAGUUGCUUCAUUAUAAUUGAAGGCUGAAUAACAUCAAAAUCUUUCAGAAUAUCGUAGGAUUCCAUAUUUAAGAUAAUUUCCAAUGCUUUCUUUCUUUUCAUUGGUUUGAGUUUAACUCCGUCAGAUAAGAUAUUCUUUCACCUUAGACUUGGAAUUGGAACAGCGGCUAGGGCUUCCUUGGAAUUCCCAUCCCCAAGAGGAUCUGUCAACGGAUAGGAUAUUUCUCGGAACUGCAUAGAGAUCAGAACUGCUUGGAACGGAACCGAAGCCUCUAUAAUUGGGACCUCAUUGGGUUGUGCCACUGAGUCAGGUCUCAUAUUGGGUAUGAAGCCCGUAAUAGGACGUGGAUUGGAUGGUCUCAACAAAUUGGUACGUGGAACCAAAUUAGGUUCCUCAGUUUGUUGAGGUCUCAAUAUUGGAAUAUGUUCCAAUAUUGAUAUUGGUUCAUUUAGCCCCAUAGACAGUGCUACUUGCUCUCUUGCGAUUGGUUCAUCCAAGUCUUGAAUUAGAUUCUUAUCUUUUUAUUGGCCUCUGAUAAGCAUUGCGUUCACCACCUUGACACGAUGUACUGGUGAGUCUUGUUGAACAAGACCUUUGUCCUCCGUCAAUUGGCUUGUUUGCAUUUGCUUGUCUCGGUUAUUAUAAUUAAAGGGCACAUUGCACUGCUGAUAAGUGUGACUAGACUGCUUACAAUUUCUACAUAUUGGAGCAUAGUCAUCACUGGCCCUUGAAUUAGGACAUUCACUCGCAUAAUGUCUGAUUUGUCUGCAACAAUAGCAAUGAAGUGGUCUCCUGCCAACUCCUUCAAGGAUAUUGGGUGUCUCUACUAAUAUAUAAUGGCUAGGACUGUUCCAUGUCAGAUGAGUAAAAGAUCCUGAUUGACCUAUUGUUACUAUAGAGUCUAGCAUUGGCUUCGUCAUGGGUGGAUAUUGAUAGUAUCCUGGUUGAUUUAUCGCCAAUCCGUGAGUAUUGAAUAUACCUUCUUGGUGAAAUUUACAAUUUAGAAAAUUAGAAUAAUUCAUUUUUUGUUUAUUUGCUUGAUUUCCAUUCCAGCCAAACCUAUUAUUCAUUUGUAGUUGAUUGACAUUCCAUAAAUUUGGUUGAAUCAUGGUCUGAUUACUAAAUUAUUGUUGUUAUCUUUACUAAUUUUAACAAUUUGUUGUUAGGUGCUUUCUUCCACAAAAUGUACAUUGAUCCAUCAUUUAAGAGGGUGAGGAGCAUUCUGUUACAGAAUGACCAUGUCCCUUACAAUUACUAUACUAUACAUUGGUCCUAGUAUUGGUAGGCUUUUGCCUCUUCUCCUUAUCUUUGGCCAUAUUGACGGCCAUUUCCUCCAUUUUCUUCAUCAAAUUCAAUAACAAGGUUUCAUUGGAAUCUUUUAGAGCUGGCAUUAUUGAUAUCUCUAUCGUACUUAAUACUUCUUGUUGAUACGAAAAAUAUGGAGCAUACGCUGUUGUCACGUUCGAUGGUAUAGCUUGCAAUAGGGUGACAUUAAUUGGCCUUGAAUAUUGGCAUUGGAAUUGGCCCUGAAUAUUGGUAUUGGAAUUGGCCCCUAUUUCUAACAUUCGUGGAUAACUAUUCAUUGAUUCGUUCCAAGUCGGAUUUUAAUAUCUACCUUGAACUGGAAUCAUCAUGGCUCCUGCAGUUGAAAACUGAUCAUAUUGACAUUCCUCCCAAACCUUGGCUCUAUUAAGGCACAUAGCCACCGUAACGGUUUGAGCUUCCUUUACAAACAUUUUUAGCUCUAAAGGGUGCAAAUCAUUGAUUAAUAUGGAUAAAAUAAAUGCCUCCGGUAUUUGGUGAUUCGGCCACUUACUGAGUAUAUCAGCCACUCGACCAUUGUACGAUUCCACCACCUUUCCUAGGAUCAUUUUGUUAUUCAUUAACCUCUCUUGAAGGUGGUCUUCAAAACCAAUUGGCCAAAAAUGAGAUAAAAAUGCAUUCUUCAAUGCUUCCCAAUUCAAAAAUUGAUUCACAGGUUGGCGGUUAUAUCACUCAAAUGUUGUAUCUUUCAAUGCUGCUGGCAACCAUCUUAACCAAAUAUCUUCUAUUCUUCCAUUAUUGGCUACACAUGCCAUCAAGAAUUGAGACAAAUGUUAAUCUGGAUAUGCACUUGGCAAACCUCAAAAAGUAGGUAAUGGCACGAUGCUAGUUGUUCGAUCGUCCACUGCACCCAUUUGAACUGCAAUCGGAAGUACUGAUCCUCUGGACAUCAUUGAAUUUCUUGUUCUGCUAAAGUCCGUUUUAAAAUAAUCUCUGCUUUUCCUUAUUCUAAUUUUCGAGCUCUCAAUGCUCCUCGAUUUACUAUUAUUUUCCGUAAUUAGUUUUAUUGGUUGAAUUGCACGUGAAAACGUCUGAUUUUGAAAUACAAUAUAGUUAUCUUUAUUAGCGACCAAUUUGUGCCAAUCUGAAGAACCACUAUUGCUUGUUUUAGCGAUACCCUCUAUUGAAAAAAUACCCAAUGGAAUACCAAAUUCUUCUACAUCUCCUUCUCUUUCAGUUAACGGCCUCAAGAUUUCUACUGGAAUGUUAACAAAAUUUUCCGCGAGUAUUCCUGGCAGUUUUUUUAAUGGUACAUACGACUGCAGAAUUAGCAGUCUGUCCGGUUCUUCACAUGUUCGGAUGCGCUGACAAGCUUGCAACCAUGGUUUAAUCCAAUUUUAUCGAUGCUUCCUUUUAAAAUUAUGUUCUUGCUCCUCUCUAAGCAAGUUCCUUCUUUGCGCUCUUCCCUGUCUUUCUCUCAACUGAUUUAUUUUCCUCGAUGCAAUGCUCUCGUUCUUAUUAACCAUAAUCUUGCUUCAACCACUACUUAAAUCAUCUUCCAUUGCCAAUUUUCUCACACAUUUGGUAAUUAAUUCCUAACACUCAAAGCUAUUAUCACUUCCUGGCAGCGAUGCCAAAAUGUGAUUGCUCGUUUUACUUAUUCCGGAAGAAACCUCCUAGAAUAAACCCGUAUAGGGGGAUUCAAAUAUGGGAAAUGACUAGUUGCUUAAGCGUUCACGUUAGGGUCACACAAUCAAUUACCUCUUGAAUGUAUUGUCACUAUUUCCAAUAUCUGAACACACAAGAAAACUAUAAUCUCCUCUUUCACCUUAUCGAUCUCUUCCUUACAACAAUU